Molecule: ribosomal RNA, 437 nt
Filed under: uncultured bacterium
Lineage: Bacteria
Description: partial 16S ribosomal RNA
Rfam family: Bacterial small subunit ribosomal RNA
Source: RNAcentral
AGCGAACGCUGGCGGCAGGCUUAACACAUGCAAGUCGAGCGGGCAUCCUUGUGGUGUCAGCGGCAGACGGGUGAGUAACGCGUGGGAACGUGCCCUUCGGUUCGGAAUAACUCAGGGAAACUUGAGCUAAUACCGGAUACGUGCGAGAGCAGAAAGGUUUAUCUGCCGAAGGAUCGGCCCGCGUCUGAUUAGCUAGUUGGUGAGGUUACGGCUCACCAAGGCGACGAUCAGUAGCUGGUCUGAGAGGAUGAUCAGCCACACUGGGACUGAGGCACGGCCCAGACUCCUACGGGAGGCAGCAGUGGGGAAUAUUGGACAAUGGGGGCAACCCUGAUCCAGCCAUGCCGCGUGAGUGAUGACGGCCUUAGGGUUGUAAAGCUCUUUUCUCCGGGACGAUAAUGACGGUACCGGAGGAAUAAGCCCCGGCUAACUUCGUG